RNAcentral lists this small nuclear RNA (23 nucleotides) under Arabidopsis thaliana (thale cress). Its description in RNAcentral is "snRNA_00807". Lineage: Eukaryota; Viridiplantae; Streptophyta; Magnoliopsida; Brassicales; Brassicaceae. The record is from RNAcentral.
AAUCCCUUGUCCUGGGUUAGAUU